This 104-nucleotide small RNA is filed under the name Listeria monocytogenes serotype 4b str. LL195. RNAcentral describes it as "Flavo-1 RNA". Lineage: Bacteria; Bacillati; Bacillota; Bacilli; Caryophanales; Listeriaceae. The record is from RNAcentral.
CAUAAGUAGCGAUUGUAGCGGCACUAAAUUCGGAUUAUCAAUAUAAAGUGACGCUUGGAACCAGUCAUUCCAGUAUCCUAGUGUAGAGAAAAGCGCGAUUGUCG